This is a non-coding RNA of Melampsora americana, 95 nucleotides long. The record is from the annotation of a GenBank genome assembly. Lineage: Eukaryota; Fungi; Basidiomycota; Pucciniomycetes; Pucciniales; Melampsoraceae.
GCCCGUUUAGCAUAGUCGUUAUUGCGCGGCACUUGUACCGAAGCCCUGAGUGGCUUGCAAUGCCGAGGUCGCUAGUUCAAAUCUGGCAACGGGCA